Molecule: small RNA, 111 nt
Filed under: Escherichia coli
Lineage: Bacteria; Pseudomonadati; Pseudomonadota; Gammaproteobacteria; Enterobacterales; Enterobacteriaceae
Also listed under: 1 other name
Description: partial RtT sRNA
Rfam family: RtT RNA
About the family: This family represents a bacterial cis-regulatory element known as RtT RNA. The exact function of RtT is unknown although it is thought that it may be involved in changing the cellular response in relation to amino acid starvation.
Source: RNAcentral
AUUCUGCCCAAGCGGGGAAGGAUGAGAAGCUUCGACCAAGGUUCGACUUGAGCGCCAGCGAGAGAGCGUUGCCGCAGGCAACGACCCGAAGGGCGAAGCGCGCAGCGCUGA